GUUUGGAUAAGAAGUCAGGAUCUAAUCAGAGAAAUUUAGGAAUCAGGAUUUCAGUCAUUCUGUCGUCUGUGGUGUUGGUGCUCUGUGUCGCCGCACUCAUCUUUGUCAGAGAGCUCAUGGUGAAUUAUAACUGAAACAAGAAACACUCAGGAAACUGGACCAUUUUCAGUCAAAUGAAGGGACACUCAGACACUCAGCGGCAGAAGGCAGACACUUCCUGAGGAGUGUCAGUUCAUUAUGCCAGAGUGUUACUUUUUUUUUUUUAUCUCAGUGCUUUGUGCUGUUUAUUUAUUUUUUGUAUAUCUUUGAAAUGGUGCUGUUUAUAAAAAGUCAUGUUUUGGUGUUUUGUCAGAUAUUUAAACAUUAAGUUACUUGAAAUGUGAACUGUGAAAACGAGCAUGAGUGGCUAACAUGAACCUUUCUCAUCAAUAACUUUGAUUAAAUUGAUUUUAUUGAUUAAAUUGAUACUACCAGAGACAACUACAAUGAAAACUGCACUGUGCUUUUGUAAAUAACAACACUUUUCCACCUGAAAUUGCAGAAAAUGGCAGCUGAAGGUCUCUGUUUGUUCACUGUGAACAUGUUAUGCUCAAUUUAUUACUACGUGUAUUGUUAAAAAACCAACACAUACAUUUGUGUUCAGUUACUCAGACCAGGAAUAUUUAUCACCUUAGUAAUGUAAGACCAUCCUAGUGCUAGUCAAGUAUUGUUUUAAUAAUGUUUUAAUGUUUUUUUUAUCUGCAAACAUUGCACUGCUCAUCAGAAAGUGUAAAGAAACAUUUGACGCUUUUGCUUCUUCUCUGUGUCAAACUGGACUUAAUGCAAAACACUCCUUAUUGUCUCCAUGUAGUUUUGCAGGUAUACUAUCUGUUGAUAUGAGUUACCUUUCCACACAUAAAGACAGCAAUUUUCAGGCUUACAGUUUGUCAGUCUAAACACAUGCAGACUGCUGUUAUUCUCACUGUACUGCUGACUGACACAUUUUCAAAGGUAAAUAAAUUUCACA
Maylandia zebra (zebra mbuna) is the source of this 1006-nucleotide non-coding RNA. The record is from RefSeq and is a predicted model, not a curated record. Lineage: Eukaryota; Metazoa; Chordata; Actinopteri; Cichliformes; Cichlidae.